Molecule: ribosomal RNA, 253 nt
Filed under: uncultured bacterium
Lineage: Bacteria
Description: partial 16S ribosomal RNA
Rfam family: Bacterial small subunit ribosomal RNA
Source: RNAcentral
UACGUAGGGUGCAAGCGUUGUCCGGAAUUAUUGGGCGUAAAGAGCUCGUGGGCGGUCUGUCGCGUCUGCUGUGAAAACUCAGGGCUUAACCCUGAGCUUGCAGUGGGUACGGGCAGACUAGAGUGCGGUAGGGGAGACUGGAAUUCCUGGUGUAGCGGUGAAAUGCGCAGAUAUCAGGAGGAACACCGGUGGCGAAGGCGGGUCUCUGGGCCGUAACUGACGCUGAGGAGCGAAAGCAUGGGGAGCGAACAGG